RNAcentral lists this ribosomal RNA (497 nucleotides) under uncultured bacterium. RNAcentral describes it as "partial 16S ribosomal RNA". It matches the Rfam family "Bacterial small subunit ribosomal RNA", at positions 28 to 507 of the family's 1533-position model. The record is from RNAcentral.
GAUGAACGCUGGCGGCGUGCCUAAUACAUGCAAGUCGAGCGAACAGACGAGGAGCUUGCUCCUCUGACGUUAGCGGCGGACGGGUGAGUAACACGUGGAUAACCUACCUAUAAGACUGGGAUAACUUCGGGAAACCGGAGCUAAUACCGGAUAAUAUAUUGAACCGCAUGGUUCAAUAGUGAAAGACGGUUUUGCUGUCACUUAUAGAUGGAUCCGCGCCGCAUUAGCUAGUUGGUAAGGUAACGGCUUACCAAGGCGACGAUGCGUAGCCGACCUGAGAGGGUGAUCGGCCACACUGGAGCUGAGACACGGUCCAGACUCCUACGGGAGGCAGCAGUAGGGAAUCUUCCGCAAUGGGCGAAAGCCUGACGGAGCAACGCCGCGUGAGUGAUGAAGGUCUUCGGUUCGUAAAACUCUGUUAUUAGGGAAGAACAAAUGUGUAAGUAACUAUGCACGUCUUGACGGUACCUAAUCAGAAAGCCACGGCUAACUACGUG